UGGAAGUGUAGCUCAUUGGUAGAGCAUCUGGCUUAUAUCCAGCGUGUAGUGGGUUCGAUUCCUACCACUUCUAU
This 74-nucleotide transfer RNA is filed under the name uncultured Eubacterium sp. Its description in RNAcentral is "tRNA-Ile(tat)". It matches the Rfam family "tRNA". From Rfam's summary of the family: Transfer RNA (tRNA) molecules are approximately 80 nucleotides in length. Their secondary structure includes four short double-helical elements and three loops (D, anti-codon, and T loops). Lineage: Bacteria; Bacillati; Bacillota; Clostridia; Eubacteriales; Eubacteriaceae. The record is from RNAcentral.